Lycium barbarum (goji berry) is the source of this 2498-nucleotide RNA transcript. It is a transcript of the gene named probable magnesium transporter NIPA6, with no coding region annotated. The transcript is spliced from 9 exons. The record is from RefSeq and is a predicted model, not a curated record. NCBI's taxonomy places the organism in Eukaryota, Viridiplantae, Streptophyta, Magnoliopsida, Solanales, Solanaceae.
ACAGCUCACACGCUUUUUAGUUGUCGGCUGACGUAGCCUUCCUAGUAUGUUCAUAGUCGUCAUAGCCAACUUUUUGAACAUACUACCGAAGCUUCUAGCGAAAGACAACUUUGUCUCAGGAGAGGGAGGGAAGAAAGAGAAUUCACUGAAACUAUAAUUUAAUUUGUUUUUUUCAUUUGUUUCAAAUCUCCCUCUCCCAAAAUUUCAACAAACAGUUGUCUUAAUUUGCUCUGGUUAUGCAGUUUUUUUGGAAGGUCUUUUGUGGAACAAACAUUCUUUCAGAUUCUGUAUUUAUUUUCAUUUUUGACCGUGUGUAUAUGUAUAUACAGAAGAAGUAGGAAGGGUAAAGUGAAGCAAUUAUUCUUACAGAUUGAUUAUUUGAUUGUGUGUAUGUAUAUAUUGAAGAAGUAAGAAGAUGGGAUUUUCGGAGAACACAAGGGGUUUAGUUCUAGCAAUGGUUUCAAGUUUAUUCAUUGGAACGAGUUUUAUCUUAAAGAAGAAAGGUCUCAAGCGUGCUGCUGCUGCUGGUACUCGAGCAGGAGGUGGAGGCUAUACUUAUUUGCUUGAGCCCCUUUGGUGGGUAGGCAUGAUCACAAUGAUUGUUGGGGAAGUUUCCAAUUUUGUGGCCUAUAUUUAUGCUCCAGCAGUUCUUGUGACCCCCCUUGGUGCGUUGAGUAUAAUUAUCAGUGCUGUCUUGGCACAUUUUAUGUUGAGGGAACGUUUACCACGGUUAGGUGUGGUGGGAUGCAUAUUGUGCAUUGUAGGAUCUGUGGUAAUUGUUAUACAUGCACCUCAGGAACAUAUGCCAACUUCUGUACAAGAAAUCUGGAUUUUGGCAAUUCAACCAGCAGCAUUUGUGAUUUAUGCAGCCGCAACAAUAUCCAUAGUAGUAGCUUUGAUGUUGCAUUUCGAGCCUCGUUAUGGGCAGACGAAUGUGCUGGUAUAUUUGGGAAUAUGUUCUUUAAUGGGUGCACUUACGGUUGUAAGCAUAAAGGCUAUUGGAAUUGCAAUAAAACUUACUCUGGAAGGAAUUAGUCAGAUUGCUUAUCCGCAAACUUGGUUUUUUCUAGCUGUUGCAGUAAUCUGUGUCAUCAUGCAGUUGAAUUAUCUAAACAAGGCACUGGAUACAUUCAAUGCUGCAAUUGUUUCUCCAAUAUAUUAUGUAAUGUUCACCACUUUGACUAUCAUUGCAAGCGCAAUAAUGUUCAAGGACUGGGCUGGACAAGAUGCUAGCAGCAUAGUAUCUGAGCUCUGUGGAUUUAUCACAGUGCUUUCAGGAACAAUUGUACUCCAUGUGACUAGAGAACAAGAACCAGCAAAUCCACCAGGUAAAAAACUGAAGUUGAAGCACGUACCCACUACCCAGCUAUAUAAGUUGUAUGCCUCUCAUCUUGAUGUAUGUAUAUCCUUGGUAUCAUGCAAUCUAAAAUCUUCUAAAAAAGUAUGGCAGUGGAUUUUUCUGUCUGCAACACUUAAAAGCAUAGUGACUUAGGUGUAAUUAUCCUACUUUAGGUCAAUUUGAUUACUUAUUUCUAAAGAAACUUCUAAAUUUGGUUGCUUUGUGCUUUUCUGAUUUCAAUGAAGAUGGUAAGGAAACACAAAUAAAAAUCGAACCUAGUACUCCGCCUGAUUUUACUCGACCUUUGACAAUGAUUAUUCUUUUCCGAUAUGGGGCUAGACCUCAAAGGGAGCACACAUUUUUACCAUGCAGCGUAUGUGAAAUAGUGAGAUUAGCUGCUCCGAUUUUGCUCAAUUGGUGCACAGGUUCAAAUGCUCUUCUAAUUUGAGUACUUGGUGCCGUGGUUAUACAUCUCAAAAGAGCACGUGUUUCCAUCACGUGACACAUAGGCAUCCUUUCAUUGGCAUUGGGACUGAUGACUCCCUUGAGGAAAUGUAUCGUGGUAUGAUGGAGAAGAUAUAAAAGUUAUGGAGGAUGGACAUUACAUAAUGUUGAAUGAUUCAAACUUUUUCCACUGAUUUGAUCUCGUGAAUGUCUAUAGCAAAAGUUGAAGCUGUAUCGGUAGCUGAUGCUUGAUUUGUGUUUUUGUGUAAUGAGAAUUAUUGUUUAAGCUCGGCAAUGUGAGCUUUACAACUGGGAGGUGAGUUCUCCCACGAGCACAAUUUUGGGAAAGGGUUCGAGUUACGGCUUCAAUUUUAGCCUUGACAACAUGUGGAUAUAUUUUGGACAUGGUUUCUUGCAGAGUUGCUAUUCAAAUUGAGGUCUGUGCAUACAUGGCGGUGUCUUUUCGUUCAGUUUGUUGUUUAGAGUAUCUUAGUUGAUUCAUGUUGUAAUUUAUUGAGCCACCGCAUUGGUGUAACAUAGAAUUCAUUGUUUUGUAGUGUAAAGAAGGUUGCAGCAGUAAGUUAGAUUGGCAUUUUUUUUUUUAAGACAGCUCACGAGCAUUUGGUUUGGACAAUGACAGAUUAUGUAAUUUCUGGAGUUUAUGAAUUCGAAAUCGGAUAUUGCGGCGAAGUGAAUCAUUUUGAACUUAACGUUA